RNAcentral lists this ribosomal RNA (2850 nucleotides) under Ixodes scapularis (black-legged tick). Its description in RNAcentral is "eukaryotic LSU rRNA". It matches the Rfam family "Eukaryotic large subunit ribosomal RNA". Lineage: Eukaryota; Metazoa; Arthropoda; Arachnida; Ixodida; Ixodidae. The record is from RNAcentral.
GGAGGAAAAUAAACCAACAGGGAUUCCCUAAUUAGCGGCGAGCGAAACGGGACCUAGCCCAGCACCGAAUCCCUCGUCCUUGCCGGCGAUCGGAAAUGUGGUGUAUGGGAGGUAACGUUCCCGAGAGUUUUGCGGUGGUGCAAGUCCCCCUGACAGGGGCUUGACCCAGAGUGGGUGCCCAGGCCCGUCUCCGCCACUGCUCUCUCGGGAUGGAACCUACCCGUGAGUCGGGUUGCUUGAGAGUGCAGCCCUAAUUGGGUGGUAAACUCCAUCUAAGGCUAAAUACGUCCGAGAGACCGAUAGUUCACAAGUACCGUGAGGGAAAGUUGAAAGGAACUUUGAAGAGAGAGUUUCAAGAGUACGUGAAACCGCUUAGAGUAAAACGGGUGGGCCCUCGAAGCUCGAGGGCGGUGGGAUCAGUUUCGGCUGUGACGUGGAGCGGGUGUCAGCGGUCUGGGUUUACGGGCUCUCCUUGUGGGGGGGGGGCCCGUUCCGGCUGGCCCGCGCUGUGCCGCGCACGUCCGGAACGCAAUUUUCCACCGUCGGUAGGACGCCGCGACGGGCACGGGUAACCCUUUCAAGAACGACUUUGAGUCCGGCGCCGCUGGAGGUGACCGGCGACGGCCCUUGUUUGGCUGUCGUGGGAUUAUGCCUGGCCGGUAAUCGAGUACGUCACCCUGCCCAGGCCUCAUGGGCUACUCCAUUCGGGGAGGCCCGAAACGAUGCCCUCCGGAAUGCGGAGCCGGGAAACCCGGCUGGGUCAACGGGUCCGCCUGCCUUACGCCAGGUAUUCGCCUGACGUUCGGUGUUUGGGGCUCGGAACCGGCGAGGCGGGUUCUUUCCGCGGAGGGUCGUCAUGGUUGGCGGCGAGUAGGUCGGUAACCCACCCGACCCGUCUUGAAACACGGACGAAGGAGUCUAACAUGUGCGCGAGUCCAUGGGUCCCUCAAAACCCCAGAGCGCUGCAAUGAGAAACGUGAAGGCGCGGCCUCGUGACCGUGCCGAUUUGCGAUUACCGGGCCGCCCAGGGUCCUAUGCAGGGAGCAGCAACGGCCCGCCCCACACGCUCACGUCGUGGGGGCCGGCGCUAGAGCGCACACGUUGGCACCCGAAAGAUGGUGAACUAUGCCGGGCAGGACGAGGCCAGAGGAAACUCUGGUGGAGGUCCGAAGCGCUUCUGACGUGCAAAUCGAUCGUCCGACCCAGGUAUAGGGGCGAAGACUAAUCGAACCAUCUAGUAGCUGGUUCCCUCCGAAGUUUCCCUCAGGAUAGCUGGCGCUUGUUGCCGAGACCAGUCACACCUGGUAAAGCGAAUGAUUAGAGGCAUUGGGUCGAAACGACCUCAACCUAUUCUCAAACUUUCAAUGGGUGGUGUCGGAGGCCUUCUGGUCUGAGGCCUCCGGAAGCGAUGAGAGUGCCAAGUGGGCCACUUUUGGUAAGCAGAACUGGCGCUGGUGGGAUGAACCAAACGCCGGGGUAAGGCGCCCGAUGCCGGACGCUCAUGAGAUCCCAUGAAGGGUGUUGGUUGCUUAAGACAGCAGGACGGUGGCCAUGGAAGUCGGAACCCGCUAAGGAGUGUGUAACAACUCACCUGCCGAAGCAACUAGCCCCGAAAAUGGAUGGCGCUCUAGUGUCGAGCCUAUCCCCGGCCGCUGCCGGCAGAUGCACGCAAACAAGGGGGUGCUAAGCUGCAGCGAGUAGGAGGGCCGCUGCGGUGAGCGUUGAAGGUGUCGGGCGUAAGCCCGCCUGGAGCCGCCGCUGGUGCAGAUCUGGUGGUGGUAGUAGCAAAUACUCAAGUGAGAACCUUGAGGACUGAAGUGGAGAAGGGUUCCAUGUGAACAGCAGUUGAACAUGGGUCAGUCGGUCCUAAGGGAAAGGAGAAGUUCUUUCCGAAGCGGGAGCACUUUUUUGCAGUGGAGAGAGCCCCGCAGUGACCGAAAGGGAAUCGGGUUAAUAAUCCCGAACCCGGACACGGAGAUUGGUCCUUCGGGGCCCAGUGCGGUAACGCAAACCAGCUCGGAGACGCCGAUGCGAGCCCCGGGAAGAGUUUUCUUUUCUCUGUAAGGAGAUCGAGUCCCUGGAAUGGGUUCGCCCCGAGAUAGGGAUGGUGGCUCCGUAGAGCAGUGCGGUUCUUGCGCUGUCCGGUGCGCUCGCGUCGGCCCUUGAAAAUCUGAGUGAGGGAGUGUGAUUUUCGUGCCGGACCGUACCCACAUCCGCAGCAGGUCUCCAAGGUGAACAGCCUCUAGUCGAUGGACCAAUGUAGGUAAGGGAAGUCGGCAAAACGGAUCCGUAACCUUGGGAUAAGGAUUGGCUCUGAGGACUGAGCCGGUCGGGCUGGGACCUGAAGCAGGAACGGCACUGCACCGGGACUGGGGGGGGCUCGCCGUUGACGCGGCGCGGCCAAGCCCGGACCAGCGUUGGGACCUUCCUGUGGAAAGCCUCAGCUGCGCGGCGGCCGAGGGCUUCGUGCCCAAAGUGCUAUGCUUCGGCCGGCAAAAAAACUGUCAACUCAGAACUGGCACGGACCGGGGGAAUCCGACUGUCUAAUUAAAACAAAGCAUUGCGAUGGCCGCUGGUCGGUGUUGACGCAAGUGGAUUUCUGCCCAGUGCUCUGAAUGUCAACGUGAAGAGAUUCAUCAAAGCGCGGGUAAACGGCGGGAGUAACUAUGACUCUCUUGUAUUAGCCAAAUGCCUCGUCAUCUAAUUAGUGACGCGCAUGAACGACGACGAAAAGCUACUAGUUCUCCCUGGGUGAGCGGUAUCGUUCUCGAUCUUUUUUUUUUCCUAUAUAACUACCUGAAGAGUGAAGAAAAGUUAGCGAUAAGAUAGCCAAAUUCGCCGCGAUCAUUU